CUUUUGUGCAUCCUCGCGACUAAUGACAAAGCUCACGUCCCGAUACUCAGGGCGGAUAAGGUUUCUCAUUAGCCGCGCGAAUCGUGCAAAUAAAGAUCACUCACAGUAACAAUACAUGAGUUUUAACAGAAAUACUGCCAGUCACCCAAAAAAAGGGGCCGUAAAGGCCCCCUUUU
This 176-nucleotide small RNA is filed under the name Tatumella ptyseos ATCC 33301. RNAcentral describes it as "SraG RNA". It matches the Rfam family "SraG RNA". From Rfam's summary of the family: This RNA was discovered in E. coli during a large scale screen. Evidence was found for specific cleavage of this RNA. The record is from Rfam by way of RNAcentral. Lineage: Bacteria; Pseudomonadati; Pseudomonadota; Gammaproteobacteria; Enterobacterales; Erwiniaceae.